AUUGAACGCUGGCGGCAGGCUUAACACAUGCAAGUCGAACGGUAACAGAACUAGCUUGCUAGUUGCUGACGAGUGGCGGACGGGUGAGUAACGCGUAGGAAUCUACCGAGUAGUGGGGGACAACAGUUGGAAACGACUGCUAAUACCGCAUAAUGUCUACGGACCAAAGGGGGGGAUCUUCGGACCUCUCGCUCAUUGAUUAGCCCAAGUGAGAUUAGCUAGUUGGUAAGGUAAUGGCUUACCAAGGCGACGAUCUCUAGCUGGUUUGAGAGGAUGAUCAGCCACACUGGGACUGAGACACGGCCCAG
Molecule: ribosomal RNA, 308 nt
Filed under: uncultured bacterium
Lineage: Bacteria
Description: bacterial SSU rRNA
Rfam family: Bacterial small subunit ribosomal RNA
Source: RNAcentral